CGACGCGACACGAGUGAGUGACGAGGUAUUCCGGGUGUAGACGGCCACACGACCGACACGAGCCACAAAGUGCCUUUUCCCACGUCUAGCGAAGUCAUGGCGUCCUCGAUAGGAACUUGCGUCCCCGUGCAGGCGCUUCCGAUUGCUAACACCAACAAGUUGAUCCUGACUGGGCCCUGCUUCCUCAUCAAAACCUCCACAGUGGCCCAGCAGGUGCAGGCGUUGAGACCGCUCAAGAAGAUCUGUCCCAGCAACGAACCCGAAGCGCUGAGGUGCAAGAGGAGAAUAGACUUCAGCAAGCUGGGCUACACCCUGCCUAAAGCUCAGCCUGCAGCCGUCCACAGGAGGAACGAGCGAGAGAGGAACAGAGUGAAGCUGGUGAACCUAGGUUUCGAGACUCUCAGAGAACAUGUUCCCAGCGGGAAGAAGAACAAGAAGAUGAGUAAAGUGGACACUCUGCGCGGAGCCGUGGACUACAUCAAGCAUCUGCAGGACGUGCUCAACGGCGACACGGACAGCAACAUUGACGACAGUCCCUCCAUGGACUCGGACAGCUACCCCAGCUCACCGUCAGACUCCGACAACAGCAGCGUGGACGUGGGCUACAGCCAGGACCGAGCUCCACCUCUCCCUGCUGCCACCCUGGUGGCCCCGGACCCCGGCCCUGCAGCCCCGUCCCCCCAGAGUGUGUGUUCCGACUCGUCAUACGAUUCGCUCAGUUCCCUGGAGGAGUCGGACAUUGUUGACUUUUCUCACUGGCUCACGCAACUGUGCAGUGCUUCCGACGUCGUCGACAACGUCUUCUUUAAUUCAGGUAUGGACAUACAGACGUGAGGCAACUAGAUCGACUUCUGCCGAGAUGUCACCCUCUAUCAGCGAGCUUCCAAACCAAGUAUUUGACAAUAACUGAUUCCACUAACAGGCAAAUCUACGGUCGAAUGUUCAUAGUUCCUGUUCACUGCGCGCACGAGCACGGAGGACCUACUUCAGAAGGACAUGUUCACUGUUUACGUUUCUGUAUCACCGCGCCAUUGUGGACUCUACAUUACGCUUUGUGGUAGUCGUAAAUUUGAUUGACUCUUUUUAAAUUCUUCCUUGAGAACUGUUUUUAGAAAAUCCAAUCUAUGAACACAUUAUAAGUGACCCAAAACAGUCUGUAUUUAUUUCUGUUAGCCAACGUACGUUGCGAUGACUGGGCUCUUCUUUCUCUUCUGAAAUAGUACUACAAACGAACGUAGAGUACGAUGAAUGUUCCCGGCCCUUCAUUCACAGAUUGAAUUCCCACCCGUUGAUCGUGAAGCGAUGACCCAGAGAUGACCGCCGCUAACGUGGCAUAAACAUCCCGGGUGCAACAAAGAGAUGGCCAUCUAUAGAACUUGUCAACAGCCCAUAGAAACCCUCGGCUUGGCCCCAGUGCAGGCUGAUGGACCUGGUCAAAAGAAAUAGCCGGACGUUGGAAAAGUGACCGCGCUGGACACGUUUGUGUGAAGUUUUCAUCUGUUGGUUUCUCAGCGCUAACCCAUGGGCGGCGUACCUGUCGAUUUAUCAUCGUUAACGAUGAAGCGCAACAUCGUCACGUGCUGCUUGUAAUUUCUUACUGUUAUUGCGAGUACCGGGUAAACCGCUGUUGACCACAGCCGCCAUGACGUCAUAUCAUGCUGUAUUGCCUUACCACUGCCGCCACGGAUCACGUGUAAUUUAUAUUGUAUAAAGUUUUAUUGUAUAGUCGCAAUGCGAUAUAUAUAUUUCUACCGAAUGUGCUCUAUUUUUUGCAUUUCAAUAAACAUAUUAACUGGAAAUGGCUUGUUUUGUGAAUGCCUGUAGUGUUGUAGUUACUUUAUCGAGUUAUGCUACUAGGUUUUCAUUGAAUUGCAAGAUGUUUUCGACUAACCCACCGUUUUGAAAGAUUAAAAUUAUAUUUUAAAUAUAUAUUUUUGUUUAAAAUACAACCGGCCUCGGUGGC
This 1963-nucleotide unclassified non-coding RNA is filed under the name Gigantopelta aegis. RNAcentral's name for it is "achaete-scute homolog 1-like, transcript variant X1". The record is from RNAcentral. Lineage: Eukaryota; Metazoa; Mollusca; Gastropoda; Neomphalida; Peltospiridae.